AUCAAAAUUAGGAAUACCCCUAAAAGUAUUAACAACUUUAAACAAAACAUUUUUCCACUUUAGUAUGGGAGACAAAAAAAGACAUAGGCGCUAUAGAAUAAGUACCGUAAGGGAAUGUUGAAAGAGGGUUGAAAAAGAUCAAUUAAGUUUAAUAAAGCAAAGAUUAACUCUUGUACCUUUUGCAUCAUGGUUUAGCCAGAAUAAUUUAAGCAAAGUGUACUUAAGUUUAAAACCCCGAAACCAGGUGAGCUACUUCAAGACAGCCUUUAAAGGGCUAACCCGUAUCUGUGGCAAUAGAUUGGGGUGAUCUUCAAGUAGAGGCGAAAAACCUAUCGAACUUGGUUAUAGCUGGUUGUCUAAGAAAAGAAUAGAAGUUCAGCUCAACCCCACAAUCGCAUCACACAUGUUUACCUAACUAAAGGCAGAGAUUACUAGAGGUUGGAGUUAGUCAAAAGAGGUACAGCUCUUUUGAUUAAAGAAACAGCUUUUUAGGGAGGUUAAAGGUUGAAUAUAAAGAAUAAUACCCAAGUGGGCCUAAUGGCAGCCAUCUUAAAGGAAAGCGUUAAAGCUCAAGUACUAAACACUCAUCUAUACCUAUAAUUACCCUUAAACCCCCAAAUUUUAUUAGACUUUCUUAUCAUAUGAUGAGAACAAUAAUGCUAAUAUGAGUAAUCAGAGGAUUAAGACCCUCUCUUAACACGAGUGUACAUCGGAACGAACCCACACCGAAAAUUAACGCACCUAAUCAAAGAAGGAAAUGCACAUGAACUAAUAAACAAGAAAACCCACCACACAACAAAGCGUUAACCCUACACCGGAUUGUUAAAUAAGAAAGACUAAAAGGAGAAGAAGGAACUCGGCAAAUAAUUUAAAAGCCUCGCCUGUUUACCAAAAACAUCGCCUCUUGAACAAUCAAAAUAAGAGGUCCUGCCUGCCCGGUGACUAUACGUUUAACGGCCGCAGUAUUUUAACUGUGCGAAGGUAGCGCAAUCACUUGUCUUUUAAAUGGAGACCUGUAUGAAUGGCAUGACGAGGGCUUAACUGUCUCCUUCUCCCGGUCAAUGAAAUUGAUCUCCCCGUGCAGAAGCGGGGAUAAAAACAUAAGACGAGAAGACCCUGUGGAGCUUCUAGACACACAGAAGUUUAUGUCAAUUACAUUCAAUAAAAUAAUGAACUAAAUAACACACUACUGAAAGUCUUUGGUUGGGGCGACUAUGGGGAAAUAAAUAACCCCCAUGAGGAAGAAAAUGAUUUCUUAAAGACAAGAGUUACGACUCAAAACAUCAGAAUAUCUGACCUACAUGAUCCGGUAAUACCGAUCAACGAAACAAGUUACCCCAGGGAUAACAGCGCAAUCCCCUCCAAGAGUUCUUAUCAACGAGGGGGUUUACGACCUCGAUGUUGGAUCAGGACAUCCUAAUGGUGCAGCCGCUAUUAAGGGUUCGUUUGUUCAACGAUUAAAGUCCUACGUGAUCUGAGUUCAGACCGGAGUAAUCCAGGUCAGCUUCUAUCUAUGAAACACCCCUCUUUAGUACGAAAGGACCAAUAGGGGAGGGCCUAUUUUAAAAAAACGCCUACCCCUUACCUGCUGAAACCAUAUCAAACAGCCGAAAGGAGAGCCUGCUAUGCUUUAAAUCAAAGCAA
RNAcentral lists this ribosomal RNA (1644 nucleotides) under Nerophis ophidion (straightnose pipefish). Its description in RNAcentral is "16S ribosomal RNA". It matches the Rfam family "Bacterial large subunit ribosomal RNA". The record is from RNAcentral. Lineage: Eukaryota; Metazoa; Chordata; Actinopteri; Syngnathiformes; Syngnathidae.